ACCCAGACUCCUACGGGAGGCAGCAGUGGGGAAUAUUGGGCAAUGGGCGCAAGCCUGACCCAGCAAUGCCGCGUGAAGGAAGAAGGCUUUCGGGUUGUAAACUUCUUUGACAGGGGAAGAGCAGAAGACGGUACCCUGAAAACAAGCCACGGCUAACUACGUGCCAGCAGCCGCGGUAAUACGUAGGGGGCAAGCGUUAUCCGGAUUUACUGGGUGUAAAGGGGGCGCAGACGGCGAUGCAAGCCAGGAGUGAAAGCCCGGGGCCCAACCCCGGGACUGCUCUUGGAACUGCGUGGCUGGAGUGCAGGAGGGGCAGGCGGAAUUCCUGGUGUAGCGGUGAAAUGCGUAGAUAUCAGGAGGAACACCGGUGGCGAAGGCGGCCUGCUGGACUGCAACUGACGUUGAGGCCCGAAAGCGUGGGGAGCAAACAGGAUUAGAUACCCGGGUAC
RNAcentral lists this ribosomal RNA (449 nucleotides) under uncultured bacterium. RNAcentral's name for it is "bacterial SSU rRNA". It matches the Rfam family "Bacterial small subunit ribosomal RNA", at positions 329 to 793 of the family's 1533-position model. The record is from RNAcentral.